This 898-nucleotide ribosomal RNA is filed under the name uncultured bacterium. RNAcentral's name for it is "bacterial SSU rRNA". It matches the Rfam family "Bacterial small subunit ribosomal RNA", at positions 56 to 968 of the family's 1533-position model. The record is from RNAcentral.
UGCAGUCGAACGGAGCUUAGAGAGCUUGCUUUUUAAGCUUAGUGGCGAACGGGUGAGUAACGCGUGAGUAACCUGCCCUAGAGUGGGGGACAACAGUUGGAAACGACUGCUAAUACCGCAUAAGCCCACGGUACCGCAUGGUACUGAGGGAAAAGGAUUUAUUCGCUUUAGGAUGGACUCGCGUCCAAUUAGCUAGUUGGUGAGGUAACGGCCCACCAAGGCGACGAUUGGUAGCCGGACUGAGAGGUUGAACGGCCACAUUGGGACUGAGACACGGCCCAGACUCCUACGGGAGGCAGCAGUGGGGGAUAUUGCACAAUGGGGGAAACCCUGAUGCAGCGACGCCGCGUGGAGGAAGAAGGUUUUCGGAUUGUAAACUCCUGUCGUUAGGGACGAUAAUGACGGUACCUAACAAGAAAGCACCGGCUAACUACGUGCCAGCAGCCGCGGUAAAACGUAGGGUGCAAGCGUUGUCCGGAAUUACUGGGUGUAAAGGGAGCGCAGGCGGGAAGACAAGUUGGAAGUGAAAACCAUGGGCUCAACCCAUGAAUUGCUUUCAAAACUGUUUUUCUUGAGUAGUGCAGAGGUAGAUGGAAUUCCCGGUGUAGCGGUGGAAUGCGUAGAUAUCGGGAGGAACACCAGUGGCGAAGGCGGUCUACUGGGCACCAACUGACGCUGAGGCUCGAAAGCAUGGGUAGCAAACAGGAUUAGAUACCCUGGUAGUCCAUGCCGUAAACGAUGAUUACUAGGUGUUGGGGGAUUGACCCCCUCAGUGCCGCAGUUAACACAAUAAGUAAUCCACCUGGGGAGUACGACCGCAAGGUUGAAACUCAAAGGAAUUGACGGGGGCCCGCACAAGCAGUGGAGUAUGUGGUUUAAUUCGAAGCAACGCGAAGAA